AACGUACGCUGGCGGCACGCUUAACACAUGCAAGUCGAACGAAGUAGCAAUACUUAGUGGCAGACGGGUGAGUAACAUGUGGGUAUCUGCCCUUUGGCCUGGAAUAACACGAGGAAACUUGUGCUAAUACCGGAUAAGUCUUUACGGAGAAAGCUUUAUGCACCAUUGGAUGAGCCCGCACUUGAUUAGUUUGUUGGUGGGGUAAUGGCCUACCAAGACUGUGAUCAAUAGCUGAUUUGAGAGGAUGAUCAGCCACAUUGGGACUGAGACACGGCCCAAACUCCUACGGGAGGCAGCAGUGGGGAAUCUUGCACAAUGGGGGAAACUCUGAUGCAGCGAUGCCGCGUGAGUGAAGAAGGCCCUUGGGUUGUAAAGCUCUUUCGUCGGGGAAGAAAAUGACUGUACCCGAAUAAGAAGGUCCGGCUAACUUCGUGCCAGCAGCCGCGGUAAUACGAAGGGACCUAGCGUAGUUCGGAAUUACUGGGCUUAAAGAGUUCGUAGGUGGUUGAAAAAGUUAGUGGUGAAAUCCCAGAGCUUAACUCUGGAACUGCCAUUAAAACUUUUCAGCUAGAGUAUGAUAGAGGAAAGCAGAAUUUCUAGUGUAGAGGUGAAAUUCGUAGAUAUUAGAAAGAAUACCAAUUGCGAAGGCAGCUUUCUGGAUCAUUACUGACACUGAGGAACGAAAGCAUGGGUAGCGAAGAGGAUUAGAUACCCUCGUAGUCCAUGCCGUAAACGAUGUGUGUUAGACGUUGGAAAUUUAUUUUCAGUGUCGCAGCGAAAGCGAUAAACACACCGCCUGGGGAGUACGACCGCAAGGUUAAAACUCAAAUGAAUUGACGGGGACCCGCACAAGUAGUGGAGCAUGUGGUUUAAUUCGAAGAUACGCGCAGAACCUUACCAACACUUGACAUGUUCGUCGCGACUCUAAGAGAUUAGAGUUUUCGGUUCGGCCGGACGAAACACAGGUGCUGCAUGGCUGUCGUCAGCUCGUGUCGUGAGAUGUUGGGUUAAGUCCCGCAACGAGCGCAACCCUCACUUUUAGUUGCCAUCAUUAAGUUGGGCACUCUGAAAGAACUGCCAGUGAUAAGCUGGAGGAAGGUGGGGAUGACGUCAAGUCCUCAUGGCCCUUACGUGUUGGGCUACACACGUGCUACAAUGGUAUCUACAACAGGAAGCAAGACUGCGAGGUCAAGCAAAUCCUUAAAAGAUACCUCAGUUCGGAUUGCACUCUGCAACUCGAGUGCAUGAAGCUGGAAUUACUAGUAAUCGUGGAUCAGCGUGCCACGGUGAAUGCGUUCCCGGGUCU
RNAcentral lists this ribosomal RNA (1306 nucleotides) under uncultured bacterium. RNAcentral describes it as "partial 16S ribosomal RNA". It matches the Rfam family "Bacterial small subunit ribosomal RNA", at positions 28 to 1381 of the family's 1533-position model. The record is from RNAcentral.